UACAGAGACCUCAAGCGUUAUCCGGAAUCAUUGGGCGUAAAGCGUACCGAUAGGUGGUUGAGAAAGCCAGAAGUGAAAUCUCCAGGCUCAACUUGGAGACUGUCUUUUGGAACUUCUCGACUAGAGGGGCAAAGAGGAAGCUGGAACGAACGGUGUAGUAGUGAAAUGCGUUGAUAUCGUUCGGAACACCAAUAGCGAAGGCGGGCUUCUGGGUGCCACCUGACACUGCUAGGACGAAAGCGUGGGGAGCGAAUGGG
RNAcentral lists this ribosomal RNA (257 nucleotides) under uncultured bacterium. Its description in RNAcentral is "partial 16S ribosomal RNA". It matches the Rfam family "Bacterial small subunit ribosomal RNA", at positions 524 to 776 of the family's 1533-position model. The record is from RNAcentral.